CUUUCCCACCCCAUGACAUGGACCCAGAAAUGGGCAGUGUGAAGAAAGCGGAGAUGACUUCACAACUACAGCGCCAUGAAGCACCGGGAUCAUCUAACCGUAAAGGUAUGGAUCCCUCAUCGACUGCUUCUUUAAAGACGAAGGUGCAAAAACAUCAGAUCAAGUUUGAUGCUGAAGACGACUGCAGAGAGAAAACAGUGAGGUUCACUGCUGACGAUGCAGCUAUGGAUGUGACAAGGAGUCACACUGUAAACAUUGCCACUGACUUACCACCACAGUCUUACCACAAUGUGGGAAUGUUACCUGCAUACGGAGAGAAAACCAUGAGGUUCACUGCAACUGAUGCAGCUAUGGAUGUGACAAGGAAGUCACACUGUAAGCAUUGCCACUGACUUAGAACUGCAAUCAAACCAAAAUCUGGACUUUUUACCUGCUUGCGGAGAGAAAACGGUGAGGU
This 457-nucleotide long non-coding RNA is filed under the name Cottoperca gobio. Its description in RNAcentral is "lncRNA (ENSCGOG00000011209.1)". Lineage: Eukaryota; Metazoa; Chordata; Actinopteri; Perciformes; Bovichtidae. The record is from RNAcentral.